Molecule: long non-coding RNA, 430 nt
Organism: Cebus imitator (Panamanian white-faced capuchin)
Lineage: Eukaryota; Metazoa; Chordata; Mammalia; Primates; Cebidae
Exons: 3
Source: RefSeq, a predicted model, not a curated record
CAGGUGAUAUAAUAUAAUAACCCAUUAAUGGAAACCUUGGCUGAAAUGCAGCUGAUGCAAAGUCGGAUGAUGGGAGUAAGUCUACGUGUGAAGGCCAGUCGCUCUGUUGUAAAGCACAUCUGUGCGCCAAGGGCACUCGUGGAGCUUCCAACAGUUGCAGCCGUGGAAGAAGUAAAGGAGACGCUUGCAGAUAAAGGAGUGUUUUCCUCUCUGUUUCUAAGUUUCAGGAGCCUUUAGAGGUAGCUGUCUGGAGAGCUUUAGUGUUGAGGCCACCCAAGGCAGAGGCUCACAGAUGAGACUGGAGGCCACAGCAUCCCCCCAUUCCUCAAUCUUAUGACAACUAACUAGCAAGAAAUUUCUGUAAAAAAAAUUAUUAUAUAAAAAAGAUACAUGCACUUGUAUGUUUAUUCCAGUACUGUUCAAACUAAGU